RNAcentral lists this ribosomal RNA (443 nucleotides) under uncultured prokaryote. RNAcentral describes it as "bacterial SSU rRNA". It matches the Rfam family "Bacterial small subunit ribosomal RNA", at positions 355 to 796 of the family's 1533-position model. The record is from RNAcentral.
UAGGGAAUAUUGGUCAAUGGAGGAGACUCUGAACCAGCCAUGCCGCGUGCAGGAAGACGGCCUUAUGGGUUGUAAACUGCUUUUGAUAGGGAAGAAAACGACCAUGCGUGGUUAAUUGACGGUACCUAUAGAAUAAGCACCGGCUAACUCCGUGCCAGCAGCCGCGGUAAUACGGAGGGUGCAAGCGUUGUCCGGAUUUAUUGGGUUUAAAGGGUACGUAGGUGGCCCAUUAAGUCAGUGGUGAAAUCGUACAGCUUAACUGUGCAACUGCCAUUGAUACUGGUGGGCUUGAGUAUUGUCGAGGCAGGCGGAAUUUAUGAUGUAGCGGUGAAAUGCAUAGAUAUCAUAAAGAACACCGAUAGCGAAGGCAGCUUGCUAGGCAGUAACUGACACUAAUGUACGAAAGCGUGGGUAGCGAACAGGAUUAGAUACCCCCGUAGUCC